RNAcentral lists this small RNA (166 nucleotides) under human gut metagenome. Its description in RNAcentral is "Clostridiales-1 RNA". It matches the Rfam family "Clostridiales-1 RNA". The record is from RNAcentral.
GAUGCCAGGGUCUCAAAGUCUGUCACGCGCGUGAGCUGGCUCACAUGCGUGUGACUGACCUUGAGACCCGCCCCGAUAUGAGCAUAAAAGCGUAGCGGAAGCUACGCGAUAUGCGAAUAAUGGGUAGGAGUGCGGGAGUGCGCAGCACGGAGCAAUCCGUUGGCAU